UCCUUAUACAGGUCAAAAGUUAAGACUGAAGUUGUGUUAUAAGAAGAGCAACAGUGGAGGAACAAGGAGAGGAACUUCAAAGUAAAAAAAAUAAUUCUAAAGUCUUGGGAAAACCAUGAACAAUUUCCUGAGUAUCCAGUCCACACUUUCCUGACAUAUGUAAAACUGCAAAUUUCUCUAUCAUUACAUGAUUGAGAAAAUACAAUAAGAAGGUGAAGGGAAAUAUGAAAUGGUUGAUUCACGCUUUUGAGAUGUGCAUCUCUCAUUUCUGAUACAAGUGACUGGUUCCUCUGAAUUGCUCCCAGCAGCUUACACCAUUCUCUUUUAUGCAGGACCAAGAAGUGACCAAGACACUUUUAUCUUGUGUCAGCCUGCAAGUCUUCAUCUGAGCUGCUCUUCUUCCUUGUCUUGAUUAUGUCCCAGAAUUUGAACUUAAAUUGCAGGUUAGUGCACAAAGAUGGAUGUUGUCUUUGCUUUUUGAAUACCAAGAAACACCUGUUGGUUUUUUUUAGAGUUCAAAGCAGAACUCUGUGUUUCUGAAACACCUUUAAGUAUAACAGUGGGAGACCUCCUUUUCCCCAUUGGUAUUCCCAUUCUCUUUCUUAAAGAAAUUGUUCUGCAAUUUACUUCACCAUGCCGGCACAAAUUUGUUGGAAGAAUGUUGAUAGCAUGACAACUUCACGUUAGCAGGAUGUAUGCUAGCUUGGGUCCUGUGUGUCACAUUGUUCUGACUUCACAUUAAUUCAGGAACUGCACAGCCAU
Manacus vitellinus (golden-collared manakin) is the source of this 762-nucleotide long non-coding RNA. RefSeq lists it as uncharacterized. Lineage: Eukaryota; Metazoa; Chordata; Aves; Passeriformes; Pipridae. The transcript is spliced from 3 exons. The record is from RefSeq and is a predicted model, not a curated record.